CAAAGUAAAGCUUGGUAGUUAAGCAUUUCAUUUACACUGAGAAGAAAUUUCGUGCAAAUCGAAUUAUUUUGA
RNAcentral lists this transfer RNA (72 nucleotides) under Hexacentrus unicolor. RNAcentral describes it as "tRNA-Val". It matches the Rfam family "tRNA". From Rfam's summary of the family: Transfer RNA (tRNA) molecules are approximately 80 nucleotides in length. The record is from RNAcentral. Lineage: Eukaryota; Metazoa; Arthropoda; Insecta; Orthoptera; Tettigoniidae.